This 459-nucleotide ribosomal RNA is filed under the name uncultured bacterium. Its description in RNAcentral is "partial 16S ribosomal RNA". It matches the Rfam family "Bacterial small subunit ribosomal RNA", at positions 339 to 795 of the family's 1533-position model. The record is from RNAcentral.
CUACGGGACGCUGCAGUAAGGAAUAUUGCGCAAUGGAGGCAACUCUGACGCAGCCAUGCCGCGUGCAGGAAGAAGGCCUUAUGGGUCGUAAACUGCUUUUAUUUAGGAAUAAGCCCCCGAACGUGUUCGGGGCUGAAGGUACUAAACGAAUAAGCACCGGCUAACUCCGUGCCAGCAGCCGCGGUAAUACGGAGGGUGCAAGCGUUAUCCGGAUUUAUUGGGUUUAAAGGGUGCGCAGGCGGGCUAUUAAGUCAGUGGUGAAAUCCCGGGGCUCAACUCCGGAACUGCCAUUAAUACUGAUAGUCUUGAGUUUGGUUGAAGUGGGCGGAAUGUAGCAUGUAGCGGUGAAAUGCAUAGAUAUGCUACAGAACACCAAUCGCGAAGGCAGCUCACUAAGCCAAAACUGACGCUCAUGCACGAAAGCGUGGGGAUCAAACAGGAUUAGAUACCCUUGUAGUC